Molecule: ribosomal RNA, 507 nt
Filed under: uncultured Prevotella sp.
Lineage: Bacteria; Pseudomonadati; Bacteroidota; Bacteroidia; Bacteroidales; Prevotellaceae
Description: partial 16S ribosomal RNA
Source: RNAcentral
CACGGAAUUAGCCGGUCCUUAUUCAUGCGGUACCUGCAAUGCGCGACACGUCGCGCACUUUAUCCCCGCAUAAAAGCAGUUUACAACCCAUAGGGCCGUCAUCCUGCACGCUACUUGGCUGGUUCAGGCUCUCGCCCAUUGACCAAUAUUCCUCACUGCUGCCUCCCGUAGGAGUUUGGACCGUGUCUCAGUUCCAAUGUGGGGGACCUUCCUCUCAGAACCCCUACUGAUCGUAGCCUUGGUGGGCCGUUACCCCGCCAACAAGCUAAUCAGACGCAUCCCCAUCCAUCACCGCUAAACCUUUAAUCGUUAUUUGAUGUCAGCAAACGACGUCAUACGGUAUUAGUCCGUCUUUCAACGGGUUAUCCCGUGGUCAUGGGAAGGUUGGAUACGCGUUACUCACCCGUGCGCCAGUCGUCGUCAAGGGAAGCAAGCUUCCCUCACGUUACCCUGCGACUUGCAUGUGUUAAGCCUGUAGCUAGCGUUCAUCCUGAGCCAGGAUCAAAC